UUGAAAGGGAAACGAUUGAAGUCAGUCAUACCAACGGGAAAUCAACCUCUUGAGCUCGGUCUCGUGGGUUUUGAAGAGUUUCAAAGCCUUCGGAUUCGCGGGAUUGGGAUCUCUUGGUGUACUUUUUCGUACGGUUAGUCAACAUCGGUUUUGAAUGUCAUAAAAUGACUGGAGGAAUGUAGCUUCGAUCUCGUAUUGAAGUGUUAUAGCCUUUGGUAGAUGUGAUGUUUGAGACCGAGGAUUGCAACGGAUACCCUUCAGGGCUAUUCGUCUGAUCCCUGAUACGUUGCCUUGAUGUUGAAAGCUUGCUUAUGAUGUUAGGGUAUUACGGUCAAAAGGUUAGAGCGAAUUACAUUCGUUAAGGAUGUUGACGUA
Molecule: ribosomal RNA, 375 nt
Filed under: uncultured Glomeromycotina
Lineage: Eukaryota; Fungi; Glomeromycota
Description: LSU rRNA
Source: RNAcentral